AUUGCUGGUUACAAUGCGGUUUUAGAUUGUAUCAAUGAUGUCCAGUUACCAAAUGCUAUUGAUGCAUCUAGUAUCUCGGGAGAGGCCCCAAGCCCUUAACCCAGGACCUUGCUUAAGCUGGCUAGCACUGACAUCACUACUCAUCGCCAUAACCUGGAAUGAAGACAAACACAGGACACACAGGAAACUGCCAACAAAUUCCAUGCAGAGAGCUAAGUCCACUCUUACAACAAUGGGUAAGAGAGAAGAUAAGCCUUUAAAUAAAGAUGUUCUGGAAGCUCUAUCUGGCACUUUGUCCUGCACAAAGUAAGAACUCAACACAUAUUUACUGAGUUAAACCAAGAGAGUUCAGCAGGCCAAGUGUCUUAGGCUUCCUGAUCAAUUACUUUUGAUAUCACCAAACUAGAGACCCAUUUGUUGGUGGCAAGAGACUUUUACUGUUUCUGAGCUAAAGUACUGAUUUCAACACAGAAGUUCAUGCGAUCAAAGAAUUAAAGUGUCUUUGGCUUAAUCAUGAGUUCACUUUUUUGCAUUUAGCCAUAUUUCCUAUAGAAACUCAAAUGCCA
This 566-nucleotide long non-coding RNA is filed under the name Camelus dromedarius (Arabian camel). RNAcentral's name for it is "lncRNA (ENSCDRG00005019305.1)". The record is from RNAcentral. Lineage: Eukaryota; Metazoa; Chordata; Mammalia; Artiodactyla; Camelidae.